UGCAAGUGGUAGUGAUCCGAAGGUGACGACCCGCAAGGGAGCUUGCACAGGUGUUGCAUGGCUGUCGUCAGCUCGUGUCGUGAGGUGUUCGGUUAAGUCCGCUAACGAGCGCAACCCUCGCUGUAUGUUACAUGUGUCAUACAGGACCGCCGGUAUCAAGCCGGAGGAAGGUGGGGAUGACGUCAAGUCCGCAUGGCCUUUAUGUCCGGGGCUACACACACGCUACAAUGGUCGGUACAAUGGGUUGCUAAGCCGCGAGGUGGAGCCAAUCCCCCAAAGCCGGCCUCAGUUCAGAUUGCAGGCUGCAACUCGCCUGCAUGAAGCUGGAGUUGCUAGUAAACGCGCGUCAGCUAUAGUGCGUUGAAUACGUUCUCGGGCCUU
This 381-nucleotide ribosomal RNA is filed under the name uncultured Anaerolineaceae bacterium. Its description in RNAcentral is "bacterial SSU rRNA". It matches the Rfam family "Bacterial small subunit ribosomal RNA", at positions 987 to 1382 of the family's 1533-position model. Lineage: Bacteria; Bacillati; Chloroflexota; Anaerolineae; Anaerolineales; Anaerolineaceae. The record is from RNAcentral.